GUGGCUGUAGUGUAAUCUGGUUAACAUACAGGACUGUGGAUCCUGCGAUUGCGGGUUCAAAUCCCGCCAGCCACC
Molecule: transfer RNA, 75 nt
Filed under: Candidatus Woesearchaeota archaeon
Lineage: Archaea; Nanobdellati; Candidatus Woesearchaeota
Description: tRNA-His
Rfam family: tRNA
About the family: Transfer RNA (tRNA) molecules are approximately 80 nucleotides in length. Their secondary structure includes four short double-helical elements and three loops (D, anti-codon, and T loops). Further hydrogen bonds mediate the characteristic L-shaped molecular structure. tRNAs have two regions of fundamental functional importance: the anti-codon, which is responsible for specific mRNA codon recognition, and the 3' end, to which the tRNAs corresponding amino acid is attached (by aminoacyl-tRNA synthetases). tRNAs cope with the degeneracy of the genetic code in two manners: having more than one tRNA (with a specific anti-codon) for a particular amino acid; and 'wobble' base-pairing, i.e. permitting non-standard base-pairing at the 3rd anti-codon position.
Source: RNAcentral